UACGAGAGGUCCAAACGUUAUUCGGAAUUACUGGGCUUACAGAGUUCGUAGGCGGCUCUACAAGUGAGGUGUGAAAGCCCUCGGCUCAACCGAGGAACUGCGCUUCAAACUGUAGAACUAGAGGGAGAUAGAGGUGAGCAGAACUGAUGGUGGAGCGGUGAAAUGCGUUGAUAUCAUCAGGAAUACCGGAGGCGAAGGCGGCUCACUGGGCCUCUUCUGACGCUGAGGAACGAAAGCUAGGGGAGCAAACGGG
This 253-nucleotide ribosomal RNA is filed under the name uncultured bacterium. RNAcentral's name for it is "partial 16S ribosomal RNA". It matches the Rfam family "Bacterial small subunit ribosomal RNA", at positions 524 to 776 of the family's 1533-position model. The record is from RNAcentral.